UAAUAAGUGUUUUAUGGCACUUUUUAAAUCCAUAUCCACCUUGUGUGCAAUGUCCAGUCGAUCUUUCGUCAAUGAAAAGAUCGACCAAACAUCAACUUAUUCUAUUGAACUUUUGUCUGAAAAAUAUUAUGAAUAAACUAAUUCAAAAUA
RNAcentral lists this unclassified non-coding RNA (150 nucleotides) under soil metagenome. RNAcentral's name for it is "partial internal transcribed spacer 1". The record is from RNAcentral.